Molecule: long non-coding RNA, 262 nt
Filed under: Mytilus galloprovincialis (Mediterranean mussel)
Lineage: Eukaryota; Metazoa; Mollusca; Bivalvia; Mytilida; Mytilidae
Source: RNAcentral
UAGUAAGACAAAUUGUCCAGAAUCUUUCCAUGUCCACAAUAAUGAACAGUUCUACUCAACUCAUCCAAUUUAUUUUUUGAAUAUAUAUUUGAAGAGCAUCAAUUAACAACAGUCGGCGAAUUACAUUAAGAUUCGUUCUUAUGAUGAACAGACACCCCAGUCAAGAAUUGAGAAAGAGAAACUUUAUUAUUUUUUUGAAAUGUUGGCGCCAUACCAGUCAGAACAGAUAACAAGGGCUAAAUUUGUUCUCUCUUUGGACAUC